AGGGGGCUUAGUGGUGGGGUGACUGCGUACCUUUUGUAUAAUGGGUCAGCGACUUAUAUUCUGUAGCAAGGUUAACCGUAUAGGGGAGCCGUAGGGAAACCGAGUCUUAACCGGGCGUUAAGUUGCAGGGUAUAGACCCGAAACCCGGUGAUCUAGCCAUGGGCAGGUUGAAGGUUGGGUAACACUAACUGGAGGACCGAACCGACUAAUGUUGAAAAAUUAGCGGAUGACCUGUGGCUGGGGGUGAAAGGCCAAUCAAACCGGGAGAUAGCUGGUUCUCCCCGAAAGCUAUUUAGGUAGCGCCUCGUGAAUUCAUCUCCGGGGGUAGAGCACUGUUUCGGCUAGGGGGCCAUCCCGGCUUACCAACCCGAUGCAAACUGCGAAUACCGGAGAAUGUUAUCACGGGAGACACACGGCGGGUGCUAACGUCCGUCGUGAAGAGGGAAACAACCCAGACCGCCAGCUAAGGUCCCAAAGUCAUGGUUAAGUGGGAAACGAUGUGGGAAGGCCCAGACAGCCAGGAUGUUGGCUUAGAAGCAGCCAUCAUUUAAAGAAAGCGUAAUAGCUCACUGGUCGAGUCGGCCUGCGCGGAAGAUGUAACGGGGCUAAACCAUGCACCGAAGCUGCGGCAGCGACGCUGAUGCGUUGUUGGGUAGGGGAGCGUUCUGUAAGCCU
Molecule: ribosomal RNA, 675 nt
Filed under: Salmonella enterica
Lineage: Bacteria; Pseudomonadati; Pseudomonadota; Gammaproteobacteria; Enterobacterales; Enterobacteriaceae
Description: partial 23S ribosomal RNA
Rfam family: Bacterial large subunit ribosomal RNA
Source: RNAcentral